GCGAAGGUGGCGGAACUGGUAGACGCACUGGAUUUAGGUUCCAGCGCCCCAAAGGCGUGAGGGUUCGAGUCCCUCCUUUCGCACCA
Molecule: transfer RNA, 86 nt
Filed under: Burkholderiales bacterium
Lineage: Bacteria; Pseudomonadati; Pseudomonadota; Betaproteobacteria; Burkholderiales
Description: tRNA-Leu
Rfam family: tRNA
About the family: Transfer RNA (tRNA) molecules are approximately 80 nucleotides in length. Their secondary structure includes four short double-helical elements and three loops (D, anti-codon, and T loops).
Source: RNAcentral